ACGAUGAAGAACGCAGCGAAAUGCGAUACCUAGUGUGAAUUGCAGAAUUCCGCGAAUCAUCGAGUUUUUGAACGCAAGUUGCGCCCGAGGCUCGUACCGAGGGCAUGUCUGUCUGAGCGUCCA
This 123-nucleotide ribosomal RNA is filed under the name Frullania junghuhniana. Its description in RNAcentral is "partial 5.8S ribosomal RNA". It matches the Rfam family "5.8S ribosomal RNA", at positions 34 to 154 of the family's 154-position model. Rfam says of the family: 5.8S ribosomal RNA (5.8S rRNA) is a component of the large subunit of the eukaryotic ribosome. It is transcribed by RNA polymerase I as part of the 45S precursor that also contains 18S and 28S rRNA. The record is from RNAcentral. Lineage: Eukaryota; Viridiplantae; Streptophyta; Jungermanniopsida; Porellales; Frullaniaceae.